GUGAACGCUGGCGGUAGGCCUAACACAUGCAAGUCGAACGGCAGCACAGUAAGAGCUUGCUCUUACGGGUGGCGAGUGGCGGACGGGUGAGGAAUACAUCGGAAUCUACUUUUUCGUGGGGGAUAACGUAGGGAAACUUACGCUAAUACCGCAUACGACCUACGGGUGAAAGCCGAGGAUCUUCGGACCUUGCGCGAUUGAAUGAGCCGAUGUCGGAUUAGCUAGUUGGCGGGGUAAAGGCCCACCAAGGCGACGAUCCGUAGCUGGUCUGAGAGGAUGAUCAGCCACACUGGAACUGAGACACGGUCCAGACUCCUACGGGAGGCAGCAGUGGGGAAUAUUGGACAAUGGGCGCAAGCCUGAUCCAGCCAUACCGCGUGGGUGAAGAAGGCCUUCGGGUUGUAAAGCCCUUUUGUUGGAAAAGAAAAGCAGCAGGUUAAUACCCCGCUGUUCUGACGGUACCCAAAGAAUAAGCACCGGCUAACUUCGUG
This 491-nucleotide ribosomal RNA is filed under the name uncultured bacterium. RNAcentral's name for it is "partial 16S ribosomal RNA". It matches the Rfam family "Bacterial small subunit ribosomal RNA", at positions 29 to 507 of the family's 1533-position model. The record is from RNAcentral.